GGGGGGGGGGGGGGGGGGGGGGGGGAGGGGGGGGGGGGGGGGGGGGGGGGGGGGGGGGGCGGGAGGGAGAGGUAGGGGCGGAGGGGUGGGGAGGAGGUAAAGAACCUGCGGCAUAGCCGGGGACAAGUGUUGGAAACGAUAGCUAAUGCCGGAUAACAGUAUUGCUCGCAUGAGAGAUAUUUAAAAGGUGGUUGUGCGAACACUAUGAGAUGGCUUUGCGGUGCAUUAGCUAGUUGGUGGGGUAAAGGCCCACCAAGGCGACGCUGCAUAGCCGACCUGAGAGGGUGAUCGGCCACACUGGGACUGAGACACGGCCCAGACUCCUACGGGAGGCAGCAGUAGGGAAUCUUCAGCAAUGGGCGAAAGCCUGACGGAGCAACGCCGCGUGAGUGAAGAAGGAUUUCGGUUCGUAAAGCUCUGUUGUUAGGGAAGAAUGGAUAUGUAGUAACUAUACAUGUAAGAGACGGUACCUAACCAGAAAGCCACGGCUAACUACGUG
RNAcentral lists this ribosomal RNA (499 nucleotides) under uncultured bacterium. RNAcentral's name for it is "partial 16S ribosomal RNA". The stretch from base 56 to 499 matches the Rfam family "Bacterial small subunit ribosomal RNA", at positions 39 to 507 of the family's 1533-position model. The record is from RNAcentral.